This 348-nucleotide transfer-messenger RNA is filed under the name bovine gut metagenome. It matches the Rfam family "transfer-messenger RNA". Rfam says of the family: Bacterial tmRNA, also known as 10Sa RNA or SsrA, is named for its dual tRNA and mRNA-like properties. The record is from RNAcentral.
GGGGAUGAAAGGAUUUCGACGGGGAAUCCGAGCCCGGAUAAGCGAGUAGCGGUGCGGGACCGCUAUAAAAUCCGCAAAUUUCAAAAUUAAACGACAACAAUACAGUUGCUCUUGCUGCUUAAAUAGCAGCCGUCUCUGUGCGGAGUACUGCGGCCGCAUAAGAGGCGUCGAUCAGCAGUGAACGUGAACAGGUGAAGGCGUAUAGCCUGUCAUGAACAAUAUGCCUACUGAAAUCACAAGCCCGAUUACCGGCGUGUGACAGAGGGAAUGUCAAAAGGUAAGAUACACUCGUAGAAAGUCCCUGCAAAGGUUUUUCGGACGCGGUUUCGAUUACCGCCAUCUCCACCA